GCAGUCGUGGCCGAGUGGUUAAGGCGAUAGACUACAAAUCCAUUGGGGUCUCCCCGCACAGGUUCGAAUCCUGCUGACUGCG
This 82-nucleotide transfer RNA is filed under the name Ixodes scapularis (black-legged tick). RNAcentral describes it as "tRNA-Cys". It matches the Rfam family "tRNA". From Rfam's summary of the family: Transfer RNA (tRNA) molecules are approximately 80 nucleotides in length. Their secondary structure includes four short double-helical elements and three loops (D, anti-codon, and T loops). Lineage: Eukaryota; Metazoa; Arthropoda; Arachnida; Ixodida; Ixodidae. The record is from RNAcentral.